Pimephales promelas (fathead minnow) is the source of this 1346-nucleotide non-coding RNA. The record is from RefSeq and is a predicted model, not a curated record. NCBI's taxonomy places the organism in Eukaryota, Metazoa, Chordata, Actinopteri, Cypriniformes, Leuciscidae.
CUUUAUAUUUUGUAAGGUCCCUUUAAUUAACCAGUUCCAGAUGAUGACAUCAUCCUCCGGGAAGUGACAUCACUUUGAAGGGAAAACAACAGCACAAACAAUAGGCAGGGGUCUGCUGUCCAUCCAUCAUAACUCUUUAUUAAGAUGAUUAUGAAGAAGGCUCGAGGAAGAGGACGCUGUGUUUAGUCAACUAACACACACAGGCCUGAGGAUCCACUUCUCUGUCCGGUCUCAAAGCAAGGGCGAACGAUGAUUGGUCGCUGAACAUCAGAUGGUCUCCUUCUCUGAAUAAGGCGGAUGUCCAAGACCCCCCGAUUGAGCAUGACAACACUGCCCUCCCGACCUCCUCAUCCUCAACUAAAGCUUCUGCUUAACUCAAUUAAACUCGCAACUGCGUGGAGAGUCUGGGACGUAAGAAAAAAAGGCUGUUGCUGUGAUGGUUCAAUGAGCGGUGAGUUCUUCGGGUCUCCCAGCCGCUGUAACCUUCAGCAGCCGCUGCGCUGGGGGCACAGACAACAAUCCCAGGAUUCUGUGUGCUUUUGUCCGGAAAUAACUGACACAAACUGGGGGUCAGACGCUGAGCUCUGGAAUUUCGAUCAAAGACGUUGUCUGCUACAGCAGGUCAGACAUGACAUUUCUUCUGCUACAUUUUGAGAUGUGACACCAAUUCAACAGGUGAACCAUGGAUCAAGGUCGCUAUUAUAUACACGGAUUUUGUCUUAUUUGUAAUCAUCAUCAGGUGCUUUAAGACAAAGUGACAUUCACAGGCGAGUUUUUGAUUGGACAAAAAUAUAUUUGUAUAUCUGUUUUUAUGGCAUGAUUUGAUUCUGAGUUCACAGGUGAAAGUGUUUCUUUCUCAGCGCUCUAUGAUCCCAUGACCUCAGAUCUUCAUCUUUAAGUGCAAAUCCGUCAGUGAAUAUCCAGCUGGGCCUCUCUAGAUCCCAGCAGAUGUUCCUGUCUCUAGUCUUCUCCAUCCAGGGAUCUGCAGCUCCAAAUAUCUUUCUAGAUCUGCUCCAGAUUAUGGACUGAUGAAGACUUGUUCUGCUUGCACAAACUAUAUGUCCUUCUGACCUCAAAAGGUUUGCACCACAUAAUCAGCUCCAUAUAUGUUAUUUCAUGAUGUAGUGAACUUGCUCGUUGGCUCAGCAGAAUUGUAUUUGCAUGAGCCAUGUGACACACCAGUCACCUUGCUCUGUUCUGUAAUGCAUGUUUGUGACUCUCCGAUUUGAACUCGUUCAUCAAAAUGAACAAAUCUUUUCUGAGUCAGUUUGUUCGUUUUGUUCAUUGAAUAAACCAAAUGACUCAGAAAAAGAUUUGAACGAGUUCAAACAGGAGAGCAUCACAGA